UCAGGCGUUAUUAAUAUUCCCACAGAGGCUGGUUCGUAGCGGCCGCCGGGCUCAUGUCGGACCGGAUACCAGCACGGCACUCCUUGGCUAGAGCGUAGUAGAGAUCAAUCUGGAAAUGAAGAACUACAAACUGAAGUUCAGUAUACUCUGGGACAGGGACACCGACCACACAUACCAGAACUGGAUACCGAAGUAGAAGAGCCACCAUUAACCUCCAUCUAUACCAGAACUCAACCCCAUCCCCCAGACAGUAAUGCGACGGGGAGUGAAAACACUGUCUUGGGACGCCUCUGAAAAACUGCUCAUAUUUAUAUUUAACACUUGACAUUUCUUUACCCUUGCAUAAUUGCUAACUAUCACAACAUUAAGUAUUUAUCUGAAAAGGUGGUCAUGGCUCUACUGCUAUGAAUGAGAUAAACCACAAAUAUGGGUCUUAAUAUGCUAAUGAUCUUGUUCAUGAUAUUAACUUUACAAAUAUAUUAAAAAGCAAGCUGGUAUGUUGAGCCUAAAAUGUUCAAAUGCAAUAAACGGAGACAGACAUUC
Alosa sapidissima (American shad) is the source of this 543-nucleotide long non-coding RNA. RefSeq lists it as uncharacterized. The transcript has 3 exons. Lineage: Eukaryota; Metazoa; Chordata; Actinopteri; Clupeiformes; Clupeidae. The record is from RefSeq and is a predicted model, not a curated record.